AUGCUGCUCUCUUGUUCCAUGACCCAGAGGGGUCGUGCCCUGUGGUUUCUGAGAAGCCUUAAUAAGGUAAUGUUUAGGAGGUUACUAUCUUUACAACUCUUGUCUUAUUACAACUCCAUAAGAAAAACAUUUGGGGCAAAGCAGGAUUCCUCGGAGCGGGUUUGUUUUCGUUACUGCUUCGCUAAGAUGCUGCCCAGCGAGUCUUCCCCGCGGCAGCUUCGCUUUCAGUAUCUCCGCGCAAGUGCUCGCYGGCCUCCGGCCCCUCCUCGGCUGGGCGCGGAGGCCUGGGUGGUCCCCGGGCGUCGAGGACGGGCCGCGCUCGCCCUCCGCGGCGGCCCCGGAGCGAGCGCCCGCCGUGCCCCUGCGCGGUGCGCUGGGAAGGGCCCCGACCCGGUGCGGCGCCUUCCUGGCUCGGCCUCACCACGAGCAGCCCGCGGGGAGCCGGGCCGCUGUGCCGCAGCCGCCGGUGGCCCUGGCCUGCCGGGCCGCGCUCCUGCGCUCUGCCUGCCCCUCCGGCUGCGCUCGCUGCAUUUGGAGCCGGUCCCGGGGAAGGAGGGCUGUCCCCGUGGGGUCUGGAGUAGCCCCCCGCUGCCUCCCGGCGUGGGGAUAUAUUGGGCUGGCGCUUCUCCGUCUGAGACCCGCCUCACGAAAGCACAUCUCCCAAUUAACACCCCAGCUAAUUGCCUGAUGGUGCGUGGAUGGGUGCAUGCGCACUCCGGACUUCACCGAGAGAGAUGCCGGAGCCCAGGCAGCGAUGGCAGAAAUCCCCCUCCCGCGAGCCGAGCUGAUAUCCAAACACACCGAAUUUACAGCCUUUUAAUCUGCUGCAUGACACCAGAUAGGGGCUGUUUGGAGAGAGGCUGGAGUUUCUCAGCCCGUGUAUUGUUAAAUCCAACAGCAGGCAGAACCUGCCUCCCUCGUUCCCGUUGCAUGCGUUGUCUCAGUUACGCUGGGAAGGACGGCGUGAUUAAUGGGUUAGCCCGGGCCGGAGCAGCUCUGAAGGUGACCUUCAGGACUGGCCUGCGCUGCUUUAUAAAUCCCUUCCGCCGCUGCUCUGAUCACGAACCACUGAAACAGCAGCAUAUACGAGCAGGGGAUGGGGAACAGGGCAGGAAACCUUCUGUCCUUACUUCAAAUCCAGCCCAGGCUGGCACACAGCUAGAAGUUUCCACCCAGUGA
This 1179-nucleotide long non-coding RNA is filed under the name Apteryx haastii (Great spotted kiwi). RNAcentral describes it as "lncRNA (ENSAHAG00000004262.1)". The record is from RNAcentral. Lineage: Eukaryota; Metazoa; Chordata; Aves; Apterygiformes; Apterygidae.